CAGUCGCCGCGGGAAUACGAAGGGUGCAAGCGUUAAUCGGAAUUACUGGGCGUAAAGCGCGCGUAGGCGGUUUGUUGAGUCUGCUGUGAAAUCCCCGGGCUCAACCUGGGAAUGGCAGUGGAUACUGGCAAGCUAGAGUGUGUCAGAGGAUGGUGGAAUUCCCGGUGUAGCGGUGAAAUGCGUAGAGAUCGGGAGGAACAUCAGUGGCGAAGGCGGCCAUCUGGGACAUUACUGACGCUGAGGCGCGAAAGCGUGGGGAGCAAACAGGAUUAGAUACCCCGGUAGUCCCUGUCUCUUAUAC
Molecule: ribosomal RNA, 301 nt
Filed under: uncultured bacterium
Lineage: Bacteria
Description: partial 16S ribosomal RNA
Rfam family: Bacterial small subunit ribosomal RNA
Source: RNAcentral